GGAGAGGUGUCCGAGUGGUCGAAGGAGCGCGACUGGAAAUCGCGUGCACUGCCAAAACGGUGCCGAGGGUUCGAAUCCCUCUCUCUCCG
Molecule: transfer RNA, 89 nt
Filed under: Thermosinus carboxydivorans Nor1
Lineage: Bacteria; Bacillati; Bacillota; Negativicutes; Selenomonadales; Sporomusaceae
Rfam family: tRNA
About the family: Transfer RNA (tRNA) molecules are approximately 80 nucleotides in length. Their secondary structure includes four short double-helical elements and three loops (D, anti-codon, and T loops).
Source: Rfam by way of RNAcentral